RNAcentral lists this ribosomal RNA (427 nucleotides) under uncultured bacterium. RNAcentral's name for it is "partial 16S ribosomal RNA". It matches the Rfam family "Bacterial small subunit ribosomal RNA", at positions 354 to 796 of the family's 1533-position model. The record is from RNAcentral.
GUGGGGAAUAUUGGGCAAUGGGGGCAACCCUGACCCAGCGACGCCGCGUGAGGGAAGAAGGCCUUAGGGUCGUAAACCUCUGUUGUGUGGGAAGAAGGAAGUGACGGUACCACACGAGGAAGUCCCGGCUAACUACGUGCCAGCAGCCGCGGUAAUACGUAGGGGACGAGCGUUGUCCGGAAUUACUGGGCGUAAAGGGCGCGUAGGCGGUCAUUUAAGUCAGCUGUGAAAUGGUCCGGCUCAACCGGAUCAUGCGGUUGAAACUGGAUGACUGGAGUGCUGGAGAGGCAAGUGGAAUUCCCAGUGUAGCGGUGAAAUGCGUAGAUAUUGGGAAGAACACCGGUGGCGAAGGCGACUUGCUGGCCAGCAACUGACGCUGAGGCGCGAAAGCCACGGGAGCAAACGGGAUUAGAAACCCCUGUAGUCC